GAAUAUAUUCAAAAGAUGUGCAAAAUUAUAGUUAACAUUCUCAGUUAGUUACUGAUAAGAGUUUUGGUAAAUAGAAGAACACGUGGCGACGAGAUCCACGCGCGCGCCGAAGUGGAAGUCAACAACAACACAAGGAGAGAACUGAGGGAGAGAGGCAGCCACGACUGAGGGAAGGACAAUGUCAGAGGAGGAUUCGAGAGAGCUCAUCGAAUCCAUUAAGAGGCAACAAGCAGAGACCAGGAUUCGCCUCAGCCUGGCCAACCGUCACAUCAACACUCUGUACUCGCAGGUACAGGACUUGGAGGAGCAGUUUCGCACGGCUAUGGUCUUUAAGAAACACUCGGCGCGCUACAACCUCCGUCAGAAGCUUGCGGUCAUCAUGGGACUCAAGAUUGUGUACCUCAACUACUGCUCAGUCAAGUCGCAGGAGCUGGAACGCAUCAACAGAAAACUCCGUUCCCUCACUGACCGGGAAGAGGAGGCCAUGGACACGGACUCGCUGGAGGAACCGAGCACUUCCCUGGUGGAGAUGUAGUGUGUGGAGUAGUGUUGCAUUGUGGAGUGCUGGUUACUGUGUGUGUUUCUCAUGGCUUACUCCCACAAAGACUGACUGACAGAGGGAGAGAGAGAGGUGAAGAGAGACUGAUUUGAUAUAUGUUUCUGCAUUUAAUUUGGAGUGCUGGCUGCCUGUGUAUGUCUUUUCUUCAGGUAAAGAGGACUGACAGAGGGAAGGAGAAGAAGAGAGAGAUAGAGAGACUAAGACUGAUUUAACUGUUUCUGGUUUUAUUUGAGUGUUGGCUGCCUGUGUAUGUGUCUGUUCUCCCACACGAACUGAGAGAGGCAGGGAGGUAGAGAGGAGGACUGGCAGAGAGAGAUAUAGAGAGAGAGACUAGGCUUGUAUUUAUCUAUCUGUGGGUAACUCUAAGGUCUGGAAAAACUGGUAGUGUGAAUGCUAAGUAAUAUAGGUUUAUUUCAACACCAGGAAGUGAUUUCAUUGCAUUUCCUCCUGUUUUGUUAGGAUAAUUUGAGUGUAGUGGAGUGAGGCAUUUUGUAUUCAAGAUUCACUUAAGAUCUGACGUGUUUGGCAGUCCCAGUUAGAAUGUCUAGAAUGGAGGAGGAGAAGCAGGUUUUAGAGAUAGAAGAAGAAGAGGAGGAGGAGGAGGAGGAGGAGGAGGAGGAGGAGGAGGAGGAGGAAGAAGAGGAGACACUAGUCCUUGUCGAGCUACAUGGCGUGAUAGACUCGGAGAUCUUCACACAGGACAGUUUCAGCAAGUUUAAAGUCCUGGCGGUGGACUCUGAGCGGCCCGUCCUGCAGGUGGAAAACUUCAUCUUCUCAGGGGAAUAUGAACACACGCUGGGGACAGCCGUGUUCUUCGAGGAGGAGGAGAAACGACUCAAGUGUGACCCCGUGUUCUGCAAGAAGCCACCACGGAUGCUACGUUAUGCUUGCAGCACCAACAAGAAGCUCAGCAUGAAGAGGGUGUUUGUAUCGGAGAAGAGCGCCGGGGGAGAUGUGAAGCGCGAGGGGGAGCCUGGGCCGAGUCACAUCUCUGUUGGCCCUUCAGACGCGGCCCAGAAAUUGGAUAAUGCAGGUGGUGGGAUGGGUACUGAGGAGCAAGACUUGACUGAGAUACAGACUGAGGUAUCAACAGGACCAUAGGUGUUCCUUGGUGUCUGAGGUGUGUCAUCCUGCUGGCUUCUCUGAUAUGGCAAGUUACUGUGCUAGAUGGGUACUGAGGAGGCUAACUUGACAGAUACCACCAGUUGUCAACCUUACUGUUUAUUGUGAUGUUAGGAGAGAUUGUCAGUGCUCCUGUCUAUUCUUGGGGAGUGUAAGUGUUGUAUAAUUUUUGUGUCUUGUCUUGCAUAUGUUACUGCAGGUUUUUAUUUUUGCUGUCUAAUGUUCUUUUGUUGUUUGUGUUUUGUCUCCUCUUUCUUACUUCCUGCAUUUCUUUCAUUCUCAUCUCAUAUUCCUCCUUCUUCUGUAUGAUCUACUUCUUCCUUUUAUUUUUGCUCUCUCAUGUCCAUUCUCAUCUAGACUUGUUUCUCAAAUUAUAACAAUCCUGACCUUAAUUGUGGCAGCAAAGACAAGGGCACAGCAAGUCUUUGAUGUGUGUGUGUGUGUGUGUGUGUGUGUGUGUGUGUGUCAGUGGAUGGCUCAAGACUUUGUACUGUUCUUUAAGCCAUGACUGCCUCUGUAUCAAGCCAUAAUGGAUGGAUCAGAUAUUGUAUAGAUUAAGCCACUCUGCUUGGUUCUGGGUUAGGAUAGGUUGGGUUGGAUGUUACUUAAUCUAUUCACUUCAAAAUAUAGGUUAGGUUAAAAUAAUGUAGCCUAACUUAUUCUGUCCCACCUUUCAAAAAUAGAUUUGGUAACAAUGCACAACCUAACUGAUCCAACCUAUCCCAGCCCACUUCAAAAUAGUAAGGAUUAAGUUAGAAUAGGAUAGCCUAACCUAAUCUAACCCAUCCCUUCCCAUCCCAGCCUACUAAAAAAAGCUAGGGUUAGGUUAAGUUAGGUCAUAUAUCCUAGCUCCUCUGAAAUAGGGUUAGAUUAUACAUAACCUACCCUAACAUGAAAGAAUACCAAGGGUGGCUCUCGGAAAACAGCUUGGGGUUAGGUUAGAGGUCAGGCAACAUGACCGAACCUAACACACCCUGGAGUGGCUUAUAAUUAUGUGGGGAAUGUAUGAAGUUAAAUGUAUGUGAUUGUGUGAUGGCGUUGUCAGAAUAUUAAAUGUGUCAUGCCUUGCUCUGCCAAUUUCUGAACAGCUGAUCCUCCCACAACAAAUGUCCAAGUCACUUGUUAAUUAAUGUACUCAUCUGUAACGUGUGACUGAGUUAAGUUAUUUGAUAAACCACUGCGUCUUUUUUCAUUAUUAUAUUUGACAGUGAUGCAGUGUUUCCUUAACCAGUGGUGGAGAGAGAGAGAGAGAGAGAGAGAGAGAGAGAGAGAGAGAGAGAGAGAUGAAAAGUAUAUCUAAAAAAAUUGAUAAAUACAAAAAAAAAAAAAAGUGACGAUAAAUAACUGGCUAUUCUACACAAUAAUAUAAGGUUAGGAUGCCAUUGAGAGAUGUGCAGUUAAGGUACCUAAUCAAUAAACUGUCUCUUUUUAAUAUUACUAACGUUACUCUAGUGUUUUAUUACAAUUGACAACAAACUGUAAACAAGAUCCUGGAAACAUGACACUGCAGGGACAGGAAACAAAUUGUGUGGAAAUACCUUUAUAUAUCAACUUUACAUAUGAAAGGUUUACUCUAUCAAAUAUACUAGAAAUAAUAAAGUUUAUCACAACAUAUAAGACUAAAUAACAAUAAUAAUGGCAGUACAUGCUUUCUAUAAGUAAUUCUGCCCCUUAAUUAUACACACAAAUAAUAAUGACAGACUCUUGAAGUAAUAAAGGAAUGUUUCUAAUUCUAUAUAUGGCAUAAUAAUUCAGUCAUAAAUUAAAUAUCUAUAGGAGUAUAUGAAGUUUCUCAAUAUGCUGUUUUCUUAAAUGUUACACUAGCUUGUCUUGAAAAGCUUAACAGGCUGUAGUGGAAGUUGUUGGGAUUCUCAAGGGUGCUUUCAUGAUUCCAGUGAUAGUUUAACAGGUUGUAGUGGAAGUUAUUAAGGUUUUCAUAAGUAUAGUGAUAGUUUAAUAGAUUGUAGUAGAAGUUAUUGGGGUUUUCAUGAUUCCAGUGAUAGUUUAACAGGUUGUAGUGGAAGUUAUUGGGGUUUUCAUGAUUCCAGUGAUAGUUUAACAGGUUGUAGUGGAAGUUAUUGGAGUUUUCAUGAUUCCAGUGAUAGUUUAACAGGUUGUAGUGGAAGUUAUUGGAGUUUUCAUGAUUUUAGUGAUAGUUUAACAGGUUGCAGUAGAAAUUAUUGGAGUUUUCAAGUGUUUCUAUAACCACUAACAAUUUACCAAGGAAUCUGUACCAGCAAGACAAAAAAAAAGAAAAGAUAA
This is an RNA transcript of Scylla paramamosain (green mud crab), 3943 nucleotides long. RefSeq lists it as uncharacterized. NCBI's taxonomy places the organism in Eukaryota, Metazoa, Arthropoda, Malacostraca, Decapoda, Portunidae. The transcript is spliced from 4 exons. The record is from RefSeq and is a predicted model, not a curated record.